AACGUAGGUCACGAGCGUUGUCCGGAAUUACUGGGUGUAAAGGGAGCGCAGGCGGGUAUGCAAGUUGGGAGUGAAAUGCAUGGGCUCAACCCAUGAACUGCUCUCAAAACUGUGUAUCUUGAGUAGUGCAGAGGUAGGCGGAAUUCCCGGUGUAGCGGUGGAAUGCGUAGAUAUCGGGAGGAACACCAGUGGCGAAGGCGGCCUGCUGGGCACCAACUGACGCUGAGGCUCGAAAGUGUGGGUAGCAAACAGG
This 253-nucleotide ribosomal RNA is filed under the name uncultured bacterium. RNAcentral's name for it is "partial 16S ribosomal RNA". It matches the Rfam family "Bacterial small subunit ribosomal RNA", at positions 524 to 776 of the family's 1533-position model. The record is from RNAcentral.